UUUGAGCCAUUUUCCCGGAUGAUGAACUCACAAUGGUAGCUGCAAACUAUGAGUGCUUAUUUAUAGUGUUGUCUUGAUUAUAGAAGCUCAUGUAUAUUUAAUGUUAGCCUUGAAGAUUGUAUCAGUCAUUUAAGAUUUAAAUUCAUCUUUUUGUAAUUAUGGUAUUAAG
Molecule: long non-coding RNA, 169 nt
Organism: Ipomoea nil (Japanese morning glory)
Lineage: Eukaryota; Viridiplantae; Streptophyta; Magnoliopsida; Solanales; Convolvulaceae
Exons: 3
Source: RefSeq, a predicted model, not a curated record